CUCAUUUAACUAUUCAAUGUUAUUUAUGAUGCUAUUUUGUAGCAUUUGCUUCUUGCUGCUUCAUCACUUGUAAA
Molecule: transfer RNA, 74 nt
Filed under: Shewanella piezotolerans WP3
Lineage: Bacteria; Pseudomonadati; Pseudomonadota; Gammaproteobacteria; Alteromonadales; Shewanellaceae
Description: tRNA-Cys
Source: RNAcentral